GAGUUUGAUCCUGGCUCAGAUUGAACGCUGGCGGCAGGCCUAACACAUGCAAGUCGAGCGGUAGAGAAGAAGCUUGCUUCUUCUUGAGAGCGGCGGACGGGUGAGUAAUGCCUAGGAAUCUGCCUGGUAGUGGGGGACAACGUUUCGAAAGGAACGCUAAUACCGCAUACGUCCUACGGGAGAAAGUGGGGGAUCUUCGGACCUCACGCUAUCAGAUGAGCCUAGGUCGGAUUAGCUUGUAGGUGAGGUAAUGGCUCACCUAGGCAACGAUCCGUAACUGGUCUGAGAGGAUGAUCAGUCACACUGGAACUGAGACACGGUCCAGACUCCUACGGGAGGCAGCAGUGGGGAAUAUUGGACAAUGGGCGAAAGCCUGAUCCAGCCAUGCCGCGUGUGUGAAGAAGGUCUUCGGAUUGUAAAGCACUUUAAGUUGGGAGGAAGGGUUGUAGCUUAAUACGCUGCAACUUUGACGUUACCAACAGAAUAAGCACCGGCUAACUCUGUGCCAGCAGCCGCGGUAAUACAGAGGGUGCAAGCGUUAAUCGGAAUUACUGGGCGUAAAGCGCGCGUAGGCGGCUUGAUAAGAUGGGUGUGAAAUCCCCGGGCUUAACCUGGGAACUGCAUCCAUAACUGUCUGGCUAGAGUACAGUAGAGGGUGGUGGAAUUUCCUGUGUAGCGGUGAAAUGCGUAGAUAUAGGAAGGAACACCAGUGGCGAAGGCGACCACCUGGACUGAUACUGACGCUGAGGUGCGAAAGC
This 758-nucleotide ribosomal RNA is filed under the name uncultured bacterium. RNAcentral's name for it is "bacterial SSU rRNA". It matches the Rfam family "Bacterial small subunit ribosomal RNA", at positions 9 to 760 of the family's 1533-position model. The record is from RNAcentral.